Molecule: ribosomal RNA, 250 nt
Filed under: uncultured Oscillospiraceae bacterium
Lineage: Bacteria; Bacillati; Bacillota; Clostridia; Eubacteriales; Oscillospiraceae
Description: partial 16S ribosomal RNA
Rfam family: Bacterial small subunit ribosomal RNA
Source: RNAcentral
UACGUAGGUGGCAAGCGUUAUCCGGAUUUACUGGGUGUAAAGGGCGUGUAGGCGGGUCUGCAAGUCGGGUGUGAAAUUUCCGGGCUUAACCCGGACAGGUCAUCCGAAACUGCAGAUCUUGAGUACUGGAGAGGAUAGCGGAAUUCCUAGUGUAGCGGUAAAAUGCGUAGAUAUUAGGAGGAACACCAGUGGCGAAGGCGGCUAUCUGGACAGUAACUGACGCUGAGGCGCGAAAGCGUGGGGAGCAAAC